GAACGAGAGCUUAACCUGCUAAUUAGCGGUGAGUACACUAUAUUCUUAUUUGAAAUUGAACAUAGGUAACUAUACAUUUAUUCAGUAAUCUUUAAGGGAUAUUUUUAUUAAAAUAUUCCUUUCCCUGUUCUACUAAUAAUUUGUUUUUUACUCUAUUUCUCUCUUCUUUUAAGAAUGUACUUGUUGAUUGAAAAGCUUCUUAGAGAACAGUGUGUAUCUAACACACAAAGAAGUUUAAGGCAAGCAACAGGUCUGUGAUGUCCUUAGAUAAACUAGGCGGUCGGACGGCGUGCUACAAUGAUAUAUAUAACAAGUUGUUAAAAAUGUACUUAUAAAUAAGUGUGUACAAUUUUUCCUGUACUGAAAAGUAUAGGUAAUCUUUAUCAGU
Molecule: ribosomal RNA, 388 nt
Filed under: Plasmodium falciparum (malaria parasite P. falciparum)
Lineage: Eukaryota; Apicomplexa; Aconoidasida; Haemosporida; Plasmodiidae
Description: bacterial SSU rRNA
Rfam family: Eukaryotic small subunit ribosomal RNA
Source: RNAcentral